AACCAUAGAAACCUGCGGAGUACCUGCGGAAGGAUCAUCAUCGAAUUCAUAUCCCCCUCCUCUCCCGAGGGGGACCCAUGAUAAACCGUUCUGUGCACCGUUAAACCGUUCACUUUGGCAGGCUUUGGUGGCACACCUCCAACCUCGCGUUCCCUCCUCCCUAAGGAGGUCUUACGCGUGGCGGCCUGCCAGAGUCUCCCAUUAAAAACACGUUUUCGAACACGUCUGAAAAUUUCCUUU
Molecule: unclassified non-coding RNA, 240 nt
Filed under: soil metagenome
Description: partial contains 5.8S ribosomal RNA, internal transcribed spacer 2, and large subunit ribosomal RNA
Source: RNAcentral